Molecule: ribosomal RNA, 460 nt
Filed under: uncultured bacterium
Lineage: Bacteria
Description: partial 16S ribosomal RNA
Rfam family: Bacterial small subunit ribosomal RNA
Source: RNAcentral
CCUACGGGUGGCAGCAGUGAGGAAUAUUGGUCAAUGGACGAGAGUCUGAACCAGCCAAGUAGCGUGAAGGAUGACUGCCCUAUGGGUUGUAAACUUCUUUUAUAUGGGAAUAAAACGUUCCACGUGUGGGAUUUUGUAUGUACCAUAUGAAUAAGGAUCGGCUAACUCCGUGCCAGCAGCCGCGGUAAUACGGCGGAUCCGAGCGUUAUCCGGAUUUAUUGGGUUUAAAGGGAGCGUAGAUGGAUUGUUAAGUCAGUUGUGAAAGUUUGCGGCUCAACCGUAAAAUUGCAGUUGAAACUGGCAGUCUUGAGUACAGUAGAGGUGGGCGGAAUUCGUGGUGUAGCGGUGAAAUGCUUAGAUAUCACGAAGAACUCCGAUUGCGAAGGCAGUUCACUGGACUGCAACUGACACUGAGGCUCGAAAGUGUGGGUAUCAAACAGGAUUAGAUACCCUUGUAGUC